RNAcentral lists this ribosomal RNA (409 nucleotides) under uncultured bacterium. RNAcentral describes it as "bacterial SSU rRNA". It matches the Rfam family "Bacterial small subunit ribosomal RNA", at positions 350 to 751 of the family's 1533-position model. The record is from RNAcentral.
AGCAGUGGGGAAUAUUGGACAAUGGGCGAAAGCCUGAUCCAGCCAUGCCGCGUGUGUGAAGAAGGUCUUCGGAUUGCAAAGCACUUUAAGUUGGGAGGAAGGGCAGUAAAUUAAUACUUUGCUGUUUUGACGUUACCGACAGAAUAAGCACCGGCUAACUCUGUGCCAGCAGCCGCGGUAAUACAGAGGGUGCAAGCGUUAAUCGGAAUUACUGGGCGUAAAGCGCGCGUAGGUGGUUCGUUAAGUUGGAUGUGAAAUCCCCGGGCUCAACCUGGGAACUGCAUUCAAAACUGACGAGCUAGAGUAUGGUAGAGGGUGGUGGAAUUUCCUGUGUAGCGGUGAAAUGCGUAGAUAUAGGAAGGAACACCAGUGGCGAAGGCGACCACCUGGACUGAUACUGACACUGAGG